UUAAGGCCAAGGAGAUAAAACAUGGUUCAAUUGAAAGAUUUAACUUACAACGAGGCACCUUUUCUGAAACAGAUAAAACAAGGAGGCAUUGGUAGUCCUCCGUAGUUGGUAGUACGGAGUAUGUCUGAGUUCGUUACGGACGAUUCCAAAUCGGUACAAAUGCUUCCAAACAUUAGCCGGGAUAACACGGGCUGACGGGCGUGAGUACUGUGAACUCCCCGUUGACCAGCAGCAGCCUACGCAAGCAGGAGAUUCUCUGUUACGGUAAUCAAGAACUUGCGGCAUGUGGAUGAGGAUGCGCGCGUGAGCUCUGCACCGCCCCAACCCGCGGCAUCAUAAUCGCAGUACCUGUGUCGCCAAAGCCAGCAUCUCGGACAAAACCCACCGUUGCUUGCGUCAAUGGGAACUGGGCCCCUACUGUUGGCCGUAAUGUAUGAGCCAUGCCUUGUCAGGCCUCCAACUCGAGCUGUCGGUCAAAGUUUAAACCGGAGUGGUAACGAGGAAAGGCGCAGAGAAACACACCGCUUCACGCGACGUUUAAUAGAUGUUAUAGAGCUGCUCGCUCGUGCAGGUUGACGCGGCCUCUCCAAAGUUGGGUUGCCUUCACUCACCAAAAACGAAACGCAUUGACCUGUCAGACUGCAGAUCACACGCAGGUAAGGCGUGAUGCUGAUUCUUCGUGUUCCCUCCCGCCCUUGUACUGGACGGUGUUUGCAACUGAUGCAAGCAAAAAAUUAGGAAUGGUGCUUAGUACAAUAUCAUACGGCGUGCAGCUGUUAUCGCUUGACACAAUUAUUGUGACCGCAGGGAAAGCCAAGUAGCCAAGGCUGUGAGUCUACACAUGUUUUGUUUCUUCAUAACAUUUUAUCAUUGCCAGUGCCUGGCUCAGUGUCUUUCGUGAUCCUAUAGUUACGAUUGC
This 919-nucleotide long non-coding RNA is filed under the name Brachypodium distachyon (stiff brome). RNAcentral's name for it is "long non-coding RNA (BDIS_LNC001967)". The record is from RNAcentral. Lineage: Eukaryota; Viridiplantae; Streptophyta; Magnoliopsida; Poales; Poaceae.